ACAUUGAGGCCCUGGAGUGUGUUCAGAGAAGGGCAGUGGAAGGGUCUGGAGCACAAGUGUUAUGAGGAGCGGCUGAGGGAACUGGGAUUGUUCAGUCUGGAGGAGGCUCAGCAGAGAUCUUAUGGCUCUGUACAACUCUCUGAAAGGAGGUUGUGGUGAGGCAGAGGUCAGCCUCUUCUCCCAAAUAUCAGCAAUCAGAUGAGAGGGAAUGGCCUUAAGUUGUGCAAGGGGAGGUUCAGGUUGGAUAUUAGGAAGAAUUUCUUCUCUGAGAGAGUGGUGAGGCACUGGCACAGACUGCCAGGUAGGUGGUGGAGUCACCGUCUGUAAGAGAUUAUUCUUUUAUAUCAUUUGACUCAAAGUUUGCUGAGGAACAAGUCCAGGCAAGUCCUGGGCAAAGGCAGAGAAAUCUUUUGUCCUUUGAUGGACAGGUCCUGGCUAAGGAUUGUGAAAUCCUCUAAGGAGCACAGAUGGACAAGGCCAGGGGCAACGAGAGAGAAGAUAAGCUGCUGCUAAUGGCUGGGAAACGGUCUUUUGUGUGGACUUAUCUUGAGGAAGAUGGCCAUCUCAGGAGGUAUGCCCAGGACUCUUGCUCAAGCACCCAGGAAUGUCAUGUAGGCAGGAGAAAAUGGAGGAUAAAAGAGGGUCCAACAACCACGGCGAGGUAGAGGCUUAUCUCUCACCACGACAGACUUGAGGGACCGUCGGAACAUCGUGUAACGGGACUGCUGCUGGAUCCUGGUGGUGACUAUCCCUGCUUUACGCAAUUCUUGCCUCUUUCUAUCUUUUCUAUCGCUCGCCUUCCCUUCCCCAUCACCCCAAUCCUUAAUAGUGUCCGUCCUCCCCUUUCCCCAUCUCCCUUAUUAACAUUUGUAAUAAACUGGUCGGACCAACAUUUGAACCGUUGUUUCUUAAUCUCACGCUGGGCAUACAUAUUUCAAAGAACCUCCUCUCCCUCCUAUAAAUUGGAGCGAGACACCGUCCCUCAUGUGGCACUGGUUAGUGGGCAUGAUAAGGAUGGUUUGACAGUUGGACUUGGUGAUUUUCGUGGUCUCUUCCAACCGUAAUGUUUUUAUGAUUCUAUGAAACCGAAACAGUAUUUAACACUGUACUUAAGAGAUCACAAAUCUGGAUCCCCUGUGUAAUAAAAUUAGUCCAUGUGAGAUGUGUUAUUCUUAAAACACAUCUUGUUGCCACAAACUUCCGUUUUUUUGAAUAGGUAAAGUUUGUCUAGGCAUUAAAACUUCUGCCUUGUGAUAUUUGCAAUAAAUUAACAGUAACUAGGGCAUUAUUGGCCUCUCUCUUAAAUGCAUACAGAAUCGAGAGGUUACAGCUGAUUUAUGAACUGUGCCUUUUAUGGAGAGUUAUUUCUUUUGGCUAUAUUCAAUAGAAUAUACUGUUUAAUAGGCUCAGUUGUAGUUCUGAAAGAUGGAAAACUACUGAGAACAUUAUUUUUAGAUCACAAUAAAAUAACUUGUGAUUACACUGACGGGAUUAG
This 1495-nucleotide long non-coding RNA is filed under the name Gallus gallus (chicken). RNAcentral describes it as "lncRNA (ENSGALG00010024028.1)". Lineage: Eukaryota; Metazoa; Chordata; Aves; Galliformes; Phasianidae. The record is from RNAcentral.